This 85-nucleotide transfer RNA is filed under the name Comamonas sp. RNAcentral describes it as "tRNA-Leu". It matches the Rfam family "tRNA". From Rfam's summary of the family: Transfer RNA (tRNA) molecules are approximately 80 nucleotides in length. Their secondary structure includes four short double-helical elements and three loops (D, anti-codon, and T loops). Further hydrogen bonds mediate the characteristic L-shaped molecular structure. tRNAs have two regions of fundamental functional importance: the anti-codon, which is responsible for specific mRNA codon recognition, and the 3' end, to which the tRNAs corresponding amino acid is attached (by aminoacyl-tRNA synthetases). tRNAs cope with the degeneracy of the genetic code in two manners: having more than one tRNA (with a specific anti-codon) for a particular amino acid; and 'wobble' base-pairing, i.e. permitting non-standard base-pairing at the 3rd anti-codon position. RNAcentral also lists the same sequence under 7 other names. Lineage: Bacteria; Pseudomonadati; Pseudomonadota; Betaproteobacteria; Burkholderiales; Comamonadaceae. The record is from RNAcentral.
GCCCGGGUGGUGGAAUUGGUAGACGCAGCGGACUCAAAAUCCGCCGCCGCAAGGCGUGCCGGUUCGAUUCCGGCCUCGGGCACCA